Molecule: ribosomal RNA, 1463 nt
Filed under: uncultured organism
Description: SSU rRNA
Rfam family: Bacterial small subunit ribosomal RNA
Source: RNAcentral
CGCUGGCGGCGUGCCUAAUACAUGCAAGUAGAACGCUGAAGAGAGGAGCUUGCUCUUCUUGGAUGAGUUGCGAACGGGUGAGUAACGCGUAGGUAACCUGCCUUGUAGCGGGGGAUAACUAUUGGAAACGAUAGCUAAUACCGCAUAACAAUGGAUGACACAUGUCAUUUAUUUGAAAGGGGCAAAUGCUCCACUACAAGAUGGACCUGCGUUGUAUUAGCUAGUAGGUGAGGUAACGGCUCACCUAGGCGACGAUACAUAGCCGACCUGAGAGGGUGAUCGGCCACACUGGGACUGAGACACGGCCCAGACUCCUACGGGAGGCAGCAGUAGGGAAUCUUCGGCAAUGGGGGCAACCCUGACCGAGCAACGCCGCGUGAGUGAAGAAGGUUUUCGGAUCGUAAAGCUCUGUUGUAAGUCAAGAACGAGUGUGAGAGUGGAAAGUUCACACUGUGACGGUAGCUUACCAGAAAGGGACGGCUAACUACGUGCCAGCAGCCGCGGUAAUACGUAGGUCCCGAGCGUUGUCCGGAUUUAUUGGGCGUAAAGCGAGCGCAGGCGGUUUGAUAAGUCUGAAGUUAAAGGCUGUGGCUCAACCAUAGUUCGCUUUGGAAACUGUCAAACUUGAGUGCAGAAGGGGAGAGUGGAAUUCCAUGUGUAGCGGUGAAAUGCGUAGAUAUAUGGAGGAACACCGGUGGCGAAAGCGGCUCUCUGGUCUGUAACUGACGCUGAGGCUCGAAAGCGUGGGGAGCGAACAGGAUUAGAUACCCUGGUAGUCCACGCCGUAAACGAUGAGUGCUAGGUGUUGGAUCCUUUCCGGGAUUCAGUGCCGCAGCUAACGCAUUAAGCACUCCGCCUGGGGAGUACGACCGCAAGGUUGAAACUCAAAGGAAUUGACGGGGGCCCGCACAAGCGGUGGAGCAUGUGGUUUAAUUCGAAGCAACGCGAAGAACCUUACCAGGUCUUGACAUCCCGAUGCUAUUUCUAGAGAUAGAAAGUUACUUCGGUACAUCGGUGACAGGUGGUGCAUGGUUGUCGUCAGCUCGUGUCGUGAGAUGUUGGGUUAAGUCCCGCAACGAGCGCAACCCCUAUUGUUAGUUGCCAUCAUUCAGUUGGGCACUCUAGCGAGACUGCCGGUAAUAAACCGGAGGAAGGUGGGGAUGACGUCAAAUCAUCAUGCCCCUUAUGACCUGGGCUACACACGUGCUACAAUGGUUGGUACAACGAGUUGCGAGUCGGUGACGGCAAGCUAAUCUCUUAAAGCCAAUCUCAGUUCGGAUUGUAGGCUGCAACUCGCCUACAUGAAGUCGGAAUCGCUAGUAAUCGCGGAUCAGCACGCCGCGGUGAAUACGUUCCCGGGCCUUGUACACACCGCCCGUCACACCACGAGAGUUUGUAACACCCGAAGUCGGUGAGGUAACCUUUUGGAGCCAGCCGCCUAAGGUGGGAUAGAUGAUUGGGGU